GUAAGACAGACAGUCGCGGGGAAAGCUUUUUAUAAGGCUUUCCGUGAGGAAAGUCCGAGCUUCACAGAGCAGGGUGCCGGCUAACGGCCGGUGGAGGCGACUCUAAGGAAAGUGCAACAGAAAAGUACCGCCCUGAUUUUAGGGUAAGGUUGAAAAGGCGAGGUAAGAGCUCACCGCAGAUACGGAGACGUAUCGGGCGUGUAAACCCCACCCGAAGCAACGCAAGACCGCACCAUAGCUUGCUCGGCUGUGCAAAUUUGCGGCUAAAGCCUGUCGGCAACGGCAGGCGUAGACAGAUGGCUGUCUGAUACAGAACUCGGCUUACAGUCUUGCUCAU
Molecule: RNase P RNA, 337 nt
Filed under: human gut metagenome
Description: Bacterial RNase P class A
Rfam family: Bacterial RNase P class A
About the family: Ribonuclease P (RNase P) is a ubiquitous endoribonuclease, found in archaea, bacteria and eukarya as well as chloroplasts and mitochondria. Its best characterised activity is the generation of mature 5'-ends of tRNAs by cleaving the 5'-leader elements of precursor-tRNAs. Cellular RNase Ps are ribonucleoproteins.
Source: RNAcentral